CUUCAUACGGGAUGGAAAUAAAGUAACGUUGGUCCAGCACAUCGAUCAAAGGUUCGUAGGUGUAGAUCAGGAAACCCUCCACAAAAAGAAUGUGAGUCUGCUCAUUCUUAUCAUCAGGCUUUGGAACAAUCUCGGAAGAUCACACGUCUGAAUUCCA
Thalassophryne amazonica is the source of this 157-nucleotide long non-coding RNA. RefSeq lists it as uncharacterized. The transcript has 4 exons. Lineage: Eukaryota; Metazoa; Chordata; Actinopteri; Batrachoidiformes; Batrachoididae. The record is from RefSeq and is a predicted model, not a curated record.